UACAGAGGUCUCAAGCGUUGUUCGGAUUCAUUGGGCGUAAAGGGUGUGUAGGUGGCGCCGUAAGUCGGGUGUGAAAUUUCGGAGCUUAACUCCGAACCUGCAUUCGAUACUGCGGUGCUUGAGGACUGGAGAGGAGACUGGAAUUCAUGGUGUAGCAGUGAAAUGCGUAGAGAUCAUGAGGAAGACCAGUGGCGAAGGCGGGUCUCUGG
RNAcentral lists this ribosomal RNA (209 nucleotides) under uncultured bacterium. Its description in RNAcentral is "partial 16S ribosomal RNA". It matches the Rfam family "Bacterial small subunit ribosomal RNA", at positions 524 to 732 of the family's 1533-position model. The record is from RNAcentral.